CAGAGCCAUCCCAGUACCUCCCAGUGGCAUCCCAGUAUAGCCCAGUACUUCCCAGUAUCUCUCAGAGCCAUCCCAGUAUCACCCAGUGCCAUCCCAGUGCCUCCCAGUAUCUCCCAGAGCCAUCCCAGUAUCGCCCAGUGGCGUCCCACUGCCUCCCAGUGCCUCCCAGUAUGUCUCAGACCCGUCCCAGUUCCUCCCAGUUCCUUCCAGUAUCGCCCAGUGCCAUCCCAGUACCUCCCAGUUACCUCCCAGUACCUCCAGUUCCAGCCCAACACAGUCCAAGUGCAAUCCCAGUUUGCUCCCAGUAUCACCCCAGUUCAACCCCAGUUUGCCCCCAGUUAGUUUCCAGCUCCAUCCCAGUUUCCUCCGAGCUCAAUCCCAGUUUGUUCCCAGUAUAACCCCACCGCAAUCCCAGUUUGCUCCCAGCGCCCGCCCCAUCCGGCGGCAACAGCCAAUGGGAUCGCAGCCCCGCAGAGCGCAACCAAUGGGAGCGCAGGGUUACCCGGGGGCGGGACCUGAAGGCGUUCCCAUGACAACACUCUCUGCAACAGCCAAUGGGACCGCAGCCCGGCAGAGCGCAACCAAUGGGAGCGCAGCGCUACCCGGGGGGCGGGACCCGAAGGCAACACUCCCCGCCCCCCCGCCAAUAUCGACACGUUUCGCCGUUUUUCACCGGGAAAUAAUUUCUUUUUUUUUUUUU
RNAcentral lists this long non-coding RNA (700 nucleotides) under Phasianus colchicus (ring-necked pheasant). RNAcentral describes it as "lncRNA (ENSPCLG00000016653.1)". The record is from RNAcentral. Lineage: Eukaryota; Metazoa; Chordata; Aves; Galliformes; Phasianidae.